This 527-nucleotide long non-coding RNA is filed under the name Salvia miltiorrhiza (redroot sage). Its description in RNAcentral is "long non-coding RNA (SMIL_LNC009145)". Lineage: Eukaryota; Viridiplantae; Streptophyta; Magnoliopsida; Lamiales; Lamiaceae. The record is from RNAcentral.
AAAAUAGGUAGGAAGUUCUUUUGUGAACGUCCAAAAAAGGAAAGAUAGGAAGUUCUUUCGUGGACGGAGGGAGUAGUUGUUAAUUGUGAGAACUUAUGGCAAUUAUUCAUUCACCAAAAAUACAAUGAGUAUAUUAUAAAGAUUUGUAUGGAUUAGGCGUAAAUAUGUAUUAAAUUAAGCAAUUACAUGUUUAUCCUUUUAUAAAUUAGGCGUAAAUAUGCAUGGAUUAGAUUAGGCAAAUCUUAAGCCAUUAGCUGAAAUAGAAAUUUUAUUGAAGAAAAACAAAACCCUUGAGAGCACAGGCGCAAACAAGGAAAGUUCGGAAAAACCCAAACCAAAAAACAAAAAGACAAAAAACCCAAGCGAAAAAAGAAAGAAAAAACAAGAAUGAACAAGAGACGGGACCGCAAAGGGACACAACCGAGGCCAAGCAAAGUCCACGCCAGAGCCGUCCCGGGAAGAGCACAACACAAGAACGCGCGCCAGAGAAAGCAAGCGCCAAAGGAAUCAAGCGCCAGAGGGAACAA